AAAGUUUAGGCACAAUAAAUCUGUUCUGAAAACAACCAAUUGGUAAACUAGCCAUGAUCAUUAAAGGUUGAGAAGAUUAGAUAGAACCUUCAGGGGGAAAAAAGCUUUUCGAUCGCAAGAAAGUUUCACAAAUGAUCUUUGUGGUGGUGCAUGAAACAGCCCUGAGGUUGUGCUGUGAAAAGUAUCAUAAAGAGUUUGUUAUGAUUGGCAUUUGAUCAGUAGUGCUCUGAGUCCAUCGGUCUUAUGAACGAUAGGCCUUAUAGAGCAGCAAACUGUUUGGGAGUUGGCAGCCAACCCAAAACCAAAAUUGUGUCCUCAAGUGAACUCUGCAGUGUACAACAGUACACACAUGCCAAGCCCGAGCUCCUUAGACACAGGUUAAAUAAUAAACAAGCAGCAGAUUAGAACAGCGUCACACACAAUCACCACUGCUACCACAAAACAUUUUGAACGUGUCUCCAUUUUCCUUUAGCCACUGUAGUGCUGUUGCAUGUGUGAACCAUGUCUGGCCCUUUUUGCUAUUUCAUGAUUGGUCAAGAGACAUGGCGCGAGGUGACGUCAGAGUAUUCUAGGCCUUGCCAAAGUAAGUGCGCUAUCUGCUUUUGUCGCAUGAAAACUAGAAGUGCUUACUUUCCAUUUUACCCGUUACGAUCUCAUGUGGUUCCCUGCAGCCCAGAUUUACUAUUGGACCAAAGGUGUGGUGUGCAUCAGGCACCGACUGAUUGUGGGUUUGUCUGUCUCGAAUGAACAGUUAGCACCAGCACAGACAUGAGGGUAGAAAGCUCCAAGAGGUGGCCCAGGAGGAAGCAGAGAGAGAGAGAGAGAGAGCCUGGGUGGACCAGCCACUUUCUGUCCCUCCUCCUUGUCAGAGAGUGUGUUUGUCUGCGAUUCUGUGUGAGAGAGAUUGGGAAAGCUCAAGGAGCAGCAGCAGCAGCAGCACACUUCGUGUAUCUGUACUAUGUGGACAUAGCACAGGUUUUUGUCACAAUGAUAACUGCUCUACGAAUAGAGCCACAUCAGCUAAACACAGCGAAGCAUUAAAAGCAGCAGAAUCCCGAGUGUGUACUGUAACACAGACAGCUCCAUUUAUCCUGUGGCCGCUCUGUUCAGCGCUGCACACGUGCAAUGCUCCUGUUUCUCCAGGGAUAUGAGCACAGUAAGAAGUAAGAGGUUCUUCAUCUUAAAGUGUAGUAACAGGCUACAAAUGUUCAAUGGCAUUUAUUUAUUUAUUUAUUUAUUUAUUUAUUUGUGUGUGUGUGUGUGUGUGUGUUUUUUUGUGCUUAUAUGUUAAGCGAUUCGCAAAAUGACCAAGGGUUAUUAGCACAUGGCACUCAGUACAGCCAGAAGUGAUUCAGAGAUCUGAAUAUAGGAUUUGCAUUUGGUUAAAUCUCAAUUUUUGCGAUCAAAAUAAAAAUAAGAGGAACAAUGUCACAGUGGCGAGGGUGAUUUGGCUAAUACAGCAGCCACAGAAACCCCUCCUGUAUUCUUCUGUGAAACACUUCUCAGCCUUGGGCAGAGAGUCAGGUAGGCUGUGCUCUCACUGUGGUGUGGCUUCAGUGUGUGUGUGUGUGUGUGUGUGUGUGUGGCGUCACUGCAUAAAAAGUUUUCCCUGCAAAUGACAGCAGCUGUUUCACCUCUAGCAAAGCAGCCUUUCUUUUAGCUUCUGAUUGGUGGAAGUACAGUGUGAGGGGGACUCUGAGGUACAACAGUCCCACACAUUGAUGAGUAACUUACCCACAAACACAAACUCAAACACAGGAAGCUGUCAGAAGCCGUCCUGGAUCCAUCUCUUAUGCUUUGGAAUUGUUACAUCCAACGUCUUGAUGUUUAUAGCUUUGCAUGGUGAAAUGCUCCCCCUUUUGGAAUGAUAAUGGACUCGACCGUCCCUUGAUGAAAAACGACUCAACAUCUCUUUUAUAUAUGUGAUGAGGCCUAUUCGAGUACAUGUAUGACUGCAUAUAGACAAGAAAAAACAUAUUUAAAAAAAUUAAAAGUUUAAUUUCACAUGUAGAAGAGAUGCUAGUUAAAACUGCGUUUGAAUAGUCAUCUUCACGUGGGAGUGUGUGACGAGUCCAUAUGAGAACUACAGGCUGUGUCACCCUUUUCUCCACUCUUUCUCGACCCUCCCUCUCAGUGCUGUCGCUCUCUCUCUCUCUCUCGCUCUCUCUGUAGCUUUUCUCGCUGGCUGUGGUGAAGAAUAAAAAGCUGCUUUGCCCAUGUUCUUUGUAACUCCCUCAUUUCAUCAUCCCCUUCUCCUUCACUUCUCUCUCUCUCUCGCUUCCUCUCUUCCCUCUACCACAGUUGCCCCCCCUUCCUUUUCCAGACUUGACCGCAUGUGAGUAGUAGAACGGAGAGAGAGAGAGAGAGAGCAUGCAGCUAAAAAAGAGAAAAAAGUGUCUGCUGCUAUUUCUACAGUAAGAUCCUCCCCUUCAGGCAGCUUGUGCCAAGAGAAGGAGGGUUUUUUUACUACUCUCUGGAUUUUUAACCCUAUGUCUCCAACCAGUUGUGAAGACUAUUUUUUUUUAAAUGUAAAUUAUUGCAUGUAAUCUUUAAUCAUUUUGUUGUAUAUCGACAGCUUUUCGUGGCUUUUAUAAACUGUAAUGUGAUCUUUCUCUUUUUACUGUAACAAGUACAGAGUGACUUUUUCUUCUACUGCUUUGCAAAAGAUUCAUUUUCUCCUCCUGGAUGGUUUUGUUUGAAUCUGGCGUGCAGGUGUUUGUGGUUGUUGCUCCAGUUCCUCAAAUGGUCGUUUGUAAUGCUGAGGUUUGAAAAUGGCUGUGGUCUUCCAGCUUGUUGCAUGUCUCAGAGAAGGGAAGUGCCAAUAGCUCUAUUGCUGAAGCACCGCCCUCUCUCUCUCUCUCUCUCUCUCUCUCUCUCUCUCUCUUGCAUUCUCUCUCACCCUCCCUCUGCUCACCCUCUCAUGCGCACACAUACAGUGCUUCUUUCACACUCCUCUCGCUCUCUCUCUGAAAGGAGAGCAGGAGGGUGGUGCAGUGGUGGAGCUUUUUCUGGGACAGGUGCCAAUUCCAAACAAAAGACAUAAAAAGGCAAUGAGUGAGAGAUGCCUCCAUCGAAAGCAAUAAGUUGCAUGUUGAAACGAAAGAGCAGAUUUAGAGCGGGGUGUGUACAUACAUGUACAUGUGACAUUGCGUGUUUAUUCAGCUGGAUGUAAAAGUGGACCUUCAGCAUGCAACGGCAGAGGAAGUGAGCUAGCGAGCGAGCUGAGAUUUGGAAUACUUUUCCUCCAUCUCGCCUGCUCUCUUCGUCUCUCUCUCUCUCUCUCUCGCUCUCUCUCUCCUCAUGCACUCUCUCCGUCCACUGAAGGCAUUUCAGAGGCAUGGGGUGUGGAGGGGAGGGGGUUAAAGGGGGAGGGAGCUCGGUUUUCAGCCUGCUGAAUUAUUCAUAGGCCCGGGCCAAUGCUGCAAGCGGACUGGCUGGAUCAUUAGCAUGCAGCGGACAUUCUAUUUGCCUGUUUGCUAACAUUCCUCAUUCAAAGACUUGUUAACUGGCAGACGGGCCGACCCACGCGUCUCACCGAUGAGCAUCAUGGCCUCCUAUUGUGGCUAGGGCCUGCUUGUCCCAGGCCAGCGGUGGUGGACAGGCAUGUGGUCCAACACUGGGGGCUGCAGUUGGGGUAGACAGACUGGCUUGGCCCCCUCAGGCCUGUCUCCUCCACGAGAGCUCACUCCUCGCUCUCUCUCUGUCGCUCUCUUCCUAAACAUAGGCCUUCAGGACCAGACUGUAUUGCCUCAGUCUGCUCACAUUUUCCUCAUUUGCGAGUGAAUGGAGUGUUCCAGAAAUGGUGUAUGGUCUAUGCACAUUGCAGGUGGCAUCAUGUAAAAGAGAGGGUGGUUGAGACAUGAUUGAAGCUUGAGGUUAAACCCUUAAUCCUUGGUCAUUUGAAAUGAUGAAAUAUAAUGCGUGUCUUUUGAUUUAUGAAUUGAAUUUAUUUAUAUUGUUUCAAAUUACAUUUUUAAAUUUGUCCAGCAUAUUUCUCCAGAAUCUUCUGGCGUUUGCACGUAUGUGUGUGUGUGUGUGUGUGUGUGUGUGUGUGUGUGUGUGUGUGUGUGUGUGUGUUUUCUGGUGAAAAGGUGUGUAUAUUUCCAAAAUUGCAAAACACACUCCAUCACUGUCACAUAAAGACAUACACACAACACACACCUAGACACACUUGCCAUGUGCCCCACAAGAGGACUCUAGUUCAGCCCUGAAUGAAAUUCCCACGCCUUUAAUGUGUGCAUAUGAGACUAAAGGGUUUACACCCCCCUCUCCCCCCACCCUGAAAAGACACUCAUCCAUACCCAGUCUAGACAGAAGACGUGUCUUGUGUUCAGUGCAGAAUUAAGAAAAAAAAGAAAAAAAAACAGAAUAAUGGGGCAUGAAAUGUAAUAAUUUGACAGCACCUCAAAACGGAAGUGUACAAAUGAUAUUUUUCUAGUUAUUUCUGGAUGUUAAGGAUAGUUAGUAACAUAAACAUUUAAAGCAUAAUUACAGCUGUAUCUGUAGACACACUGAAAAAAUUAAUUUGCUGUUUCAAAUUAGCAAAAUAUUUCAAGCAUGAAAAUAUUUACAGAACUGGAGGUUCAGGAAAAUUAGGACAAUUGAAAUGGUGUUUGAAAAUUUGAUCAAUUAAUGAAUUAAUAAAAAAUGUAUUAAAAAUGUUUGUGUGUACUAUAGGCAUUUAAGGCAUGGAAAUUUUUCUUGUGUGUGUGUGUGUGUGUGUGUGUGUGUGUGUGUGUGUGUGUGUGUGUUUAAAUGUUUAACUAUGUUCAGAUGAUGGUAAAACAUAGUGGAACUGAAUGUUAGUCUAGAACACAGUUUUUUCAAACCUUUGAAUGCAGAAAUCUAGUGGCAGUUUUUCUUCGAAAGAAAAAAUAUUUUGUGUAUAAGUGUCACUAACAAUUAAGCAAGUUGUGUGUUAAUGUUGUGUUAAUGGUUAUUUUGCCUAGCAAAAAGUGAUGUAUAUAAAGAAUUCAUUUGCUUUCUCACACACACACACACACACACACACACACACACACACACACACACACACAUAUAUAUAUAUAUAUAUAUAUAUGCACUUCCCUCACCACAUUUUCCAUUUCUAGAAGUAAAAUGCAUAAUUAAUGCUUAAUUACAAAAUGAAAGAAAAAAUGUUGUUAAUUAUGUAGCUGACAAUAAUUUGGAUUUCUGAAUCUCCUGCUAUUUUAAUCAACAUUUAAUGUGUGAUCAACACUGAAAUGUAUUUAUAAUGCAGUGCAGACGUGUGUGUGUGUGUGUGUGUGUGUGUGUGUGUGUGUGUGUGUGUGUGUGUGUGUGUGCACGCAAUAAAAUGCUGACUUUAUGAUA
Molecule: long non-coding RNA, 5331 nt
Organism: Neoarius graeffei (lesser salmon catfish)
Lineage: Eukaryota; Metazoa; Chordata; Actinopteri; Siluriformes; Ariidae
Exons: 2
Source: RefSeq, a predicted model, not a curated record